CUGCGUGGUGUUUUUUUUAGCGUGUUCCUAAGUCUGCCAAAAACAAAAACAAAAUCUCCUUGGUGCGACGGCCACAAAAUUUUCAUCUCCAGUUGCUGCUAGUUUUGUGCGACCAAAUCUAUGGCAUUAUUCGCAUCAUCCGGUACCGGAUCCAGGAUUGCUGCUGGGUUCGAGAUGCUGCCGCUGAACAAGAAAGCAGCUGGAAAAUCAACCGGCAAAACAUCCAAAGCAGCCGCCACGGAACGAUAUAAACAACGUUUCCGUCUACAAAUCUGCAUAGACGACUCGACAGGAUAAAAUACCGAAAUAUGGACAGUUCCAUUCGCCGCCUAGUCUCCGCAACCAGGGAUCAUUCGGUUUGCAGCUUCAGGAUGGAUACUUACACGAAGUGUUUUAUUUUGUGCAAGGACGGCGUGAAGCUACUGGACAGACAAACUUCUGAUUGUCAAGAGUUUUGGUGUAUUUAUAGUGUUUAUAUUUCGGGGAAUAAAAUAAAAGUGUGUUGAGCAAUUAAUUUAUAACGCACAAUGAAAUAA
RNAcentral lists this long non-coding RNA (536 nucleotides) under Aedes aegypti (yellow fever mosquito). RNAcentral's name for it is "lncRNA AAEL021871". Lineage: Eukaryota; Metazoa; Arthropoda; Insecta; Diptera; Culicidae. The record is from RNAcentral.